RNAcentral lists this transfer RNA (65 nucleotides) under marine eukaryotic metagenome. It matches the Rfam family "tRNA", at positions 5 to 66 of the family's 71-position model. From Rfam's summary of the family: Transfer RNA (tRNA) molecules are approximately 80 nucleotides in length. Their secondary structure includes four short double-helical elements and three loops (D, anti-codon, and T loops). The record is from RNAcentral.
GGAGUAGCUCAGUUGGUAGAGCACUGGUCUCCAAAACCAGCGGUCGGGAGUUCGAGCCUCUCCUC